AGUAUCCUGAUCUGGAGCACUCCACGGGUAGAUAGACAGUGGUAUGGCGUUAUCCCCAAUUCGGCUCUCAACCUAGAAUUGGAUCUGGUGGCUGUAUCUGCGUUACUGGUAAGGUGUGCAUCGAGAGGGGGGUUUAGUGUAGCUCUGUUGGCUGUGCGGUGCCAAAACUCUUGACAGAUUGCUUAGAAUUUUGCCUCAAACUGGAC
Non-coding RNA from Pelobates cultripes (western spadefoot toad), 206 nucleotides. NCBI's taxonomy places the organism in Eukaryota, Metazoa, Chordata, Amphibia, Anura, Pelobatidae. The record is from the annotation of a GenBank genome assembly.